GUCGCGCUGCAAGAACAACAUGGCACGGGUUCAAAGCCUUAUUCAACUGAGAAAAUUGAUCAGCGUCAUGGUACAAGCGAAGUCUGAAUGGUUUGUUUCCCUGUUUCUUCUGCCUUGGCUGCACCAGCUGUGGAAACCAGGCCUGGUGAGGACCCUCUCCUCCAUCCUCAACUAUUGAACCUCUUAUAUCACUCGGAUGAGGUGUUCUGGAUCCAGACUGGAGCUUGUGUAAAUCCUAGUUACCACGGGAUGAAGAUCCCAGCCGAAACAGAGAAACAAAUAGAGACAUCAUAAGCAUAGCUGUACUUUAGGACAGACCAGCCUGUGAUCUCCUAAGACACCCAGAUUCAGCCCUGGUCACGAUCUGUCCCACACCUGUGUCUCCUCACAGUCCAUCGCCAGUGUCUGCACCCUGCACACUGCCAAUAUUAUGGAUUUCUGUUCUGGAGAGAGAUGCCAUUCACAACAUAAUCUCUACACAAUAUCAAACUCAAAUAAUUUAGUCUUGCCUAACAGUUUCCCUGAUUUGUUACUGUUCACAAUGUAGCAUGGUCUUGCCUACCUUUGUCCAUUCAGUUAUUAAAAUGUUUUUAAUAUUUGUAUUGAAUAUAUCUCAAGGUUAUUAUUUAAAAGCAACUUCACUUGAUCUUUCCCUAGAAGAGAUAAUAGGUGUGUUUGACUUGAAGCAGUGCUGUGCAGACCGAUCGAAGUAUGACAUCACGGUACCAUGAGAGCAAUAAGACGGCUUAAUAUAUAGGUCCUUCUCAAAAAAUUAGCAUAUUGUGAUAAAAGUUCAUUAUUUCCAUAAUGUAAUGAUAAAAAUUAAACUUUCAUAUAUUUUAGAUUCAUUGCACACCAACUGAAAUAUUUCAGGUCUUUUAUUGUUUUAAUACUGAUGAUUUUAGCAUACAGCUCAUGAAAACCCCAAAUUCCUAUCUCAAAAAAUUAGCAUAUUUCAUCCGG
Carassius gibelio (silver crucian carp) is the source of this 963-nucleotide long non-coding RNA. RefSeq lists it as uncharacterized. Lineage: Eukaryota; Metazoa; Chordata; Actinopteri; Cypriniformes; Cyprinidae. The transcript is spliced from 4 exons. The record is from RefSeq and is a predicted model, not a curated record.